UUCAACGGAGAGUUUGAUCCUGGCUCAGGACGAACGCUGGCGGCGUGCUUAACACAUGCAAGUCGAGCGGUAAGGCCUUUCGGGGUACACGAGCGGCGAACGGGUGAGUAACACGUG
Molecule: ribosomal RNA, 117 nt
Filed under: Nocardia globerula
Lineage: Bacteria; Bacillati; Actinomycetota; Actinomycetes; Mycobacteriales; Nocardiaceae
Description: partial 16S ribosomal RNA
Rfam family: Bacterial small subunit ribosomal RNA
Source: RNAcentral